Molecule: ribosomal RNA, 71 nt
Filed under: Paenibacillus woosongensis
Lineage: Bacteria; Bacillati; Bacillota; Bacilli; Caryophanales; Paenibacillaceae
Description: partial 16S ribosomal RNA
Rfam family: Bacterial small subunit ribosomal RNA (bases 9-71)
Source: RNAcentral
UUCAUCCUUUAUUGGAGAGUUUGAUCCUGGCUCAGGACGAACGCUGGCGGCGUGCCUAAUACAUGCAAGUC